This 549-nucleotide transfer RNA is filed under the name uncultured cyanobacterium. Its description in RNAcentral is "16S-23S ribosomal RNA intergenic spacer". The stretch from base 210 to 282 matches the Rfam family "tRNA". The record is from RNAcentral. Lineage: Bacteria; Bacillati; Cyanobacteriota.
CAGGGAGACAACAAAAUGUAAAUAUUAAUUUUGUCACCUUAGGUCGAUCGGUAUCUCAGAUUCUUAUUUUUUAAGAAUUUCAGUUUCUAAGUUUUUUCUAGGUCACACCCAUCACUUUUUCCUGGGCCAUUAGCUCAGGUGGUUAGAGCGCACCCCUGAUAAGGGUGAGGUCCCUGGUUCAAGUCCAGGAUGGCCCAUAUCUCUAUGUUGGGGGUAUAGCUCAGUUGGUAGAGCGCCUGCUUUGCAAGCAGGAUGUCAGCGGUUCGAGUCCGCUUACCUCCACUGAAUACCACCUCUUACAUAUUUUAAAGAGGGAAAUUGUUAUGAGUCGUGUCCUAAUUUGCUCUGAGCGAAUCUAGCUUCCUAUUUUUAUUGAAUAAAUAAGAUGCUGGACUCAUUGAAUUUUUUUUCAUUGUUUUCAGAGAACCUUGACAACUGCAUAGAUUAUUUUGAAGACAAUAAGCAUCUUUAAUGAUGCAGAUUUAUUAUUUGUGCGAAUGCAUUAAAUAACAAUUUUAUUAAGUUGAUGCUUCAAUUAUUGAAGUUAUU